AUUGAACGCUGGCGGCAGGCCUAACACAUGCAAGUCGAACGGUAACAGGAAGCAGCUUGCUGCUUUGCUGACGAGUGGCGGGCGGGUGAGUAAUGUCUGGGCAACUGGCCGAUGGAGGGGGAUAACUACUGGAAACGGUAGAUAAUACCGCAUAACGUCGCAAGACCAAAGUGGGGGACCUUAGGGCAUCUGGCCCACGGAUGUGCCCAUAUGGGAUUAGCUAGUAGGUGGGGUAACGGCUCACCUAGGCGGCGAUCCCUAGAUGGUCUGAGAGGAUGACCAGCCACACUGGAACUGAGACACGGUCCAGACUCCUACGGGAGGCAGCAGUGGGGGAUAUUGCACAGUGGGCGAAAGCCUGAUGCAGCCAUGCCGCGAGUAUGAAGAAGGCCCUCGGGUUGUAAAGUACUUUCAGCGGGGAGGAAGGGAGUAAAGUUAAUACCUUUGCUCAUGGACGUUACCCGCAGAAGAAGCACCGGCUAACUCCGU
Molecule: ribosomal RNA, 489 nt
Filed under: uncultured bacterium
Lineage: Bacteria
Description: partial 16S ribosomal RNA
Rfam family: Bacterial small subunit ribosomal RNA
Source: RNAcentral